UCCCUUGUAGCUCAGUUGGUAAAGAAUCUGCCUGCAGUGCAGGAAACCCAGGUUCGAUCCCUGGGUUGGGAA
Non-coding RNA from Bos taurus (domestic cattle), 72 nucleotides. Lineage: Eukaryota; Metazoa; Chordata; Mammalia; Artiodactyla; Bovidae. The record is from Rfam.